GCCGCAGUAUUUUGACUGUGCAAAGGUAGCAUAAUCAUUAGUUUUUUAAUUGGAAGCUGGAAUGAAUGGUUGGAUGAGGAAGUAACUGUCUCAUUUUAAUUUGUUGAACUUUAUUUUUGAGUUAAAAAGCUUAAAUUUUAUAGAAAGACGAGAAGACCCUAUAGAGUUUGAUAGAGUUCAUUAUUUGGUUUUUUAGGUUUUUAUUUUUAAUUGAGUUUGACUUUAUUUUGUUGGGGUGAUAUGAAAAUUGGUUGAACUUUUCAUUAUUUUUACAUUGAUUUAUGGUUUAUUGAUCCUGAAGAUUUGGAUUUAUAGUUUAAAUUACCUUAGGGAUAACAGCGUAAUUCUUUUAGAGAGUUCUAAUCGAUAAGGGAGAUUGCGACCUCGAUGUUGGAUUAAAGUUAAUUUUUGGUGCAGAAGCUAGAAUUUUG
This 431-nucleotide ribosomal RNA is filed under the name Iselma brunneipes. RNAcentral describes it as "partial large subunit ribosomal RNA". It matches the Rfam family "Archaeal large subunit ribosomal RNA", at positions 2007 to 2644 of the family's 2987-position model. The record is from RNAcentral. Lineage: Eukaryota; Metazoa; Arthropoda; Insecta; Coleoptera; Meloidae.